AAAGGAUUGCUCAAUGUAGAUAUUAUAUACUGCUUGCACUGUGAAUAUUAAUGGGAUUCAACACUGUAAUAGUUUUUCUUUCGUCUGAUACAGAAUACCCCAUAUCUUUUCUUUUUCAUACCUAUCUGUUUAUUAUGUCCCCUGGAUUAUGUCAAUCAUACAUUGUUGCAAUACCGACAUGCUUGUACUUUGUCACAGAAAAAACUGAAAUAAAUUUCCUUCACAUCGAAGUAAAAAAUACAAAUGUACCCUUUAACAUUUGAAAUGUUGAAGAC
This 275-nucleotide long non-coding RNA is filed under the name Mytilus galloprovincialis (Mediterranean mussel). Lineage: Eukaryota; Metazoa; Mollusca; Bivalvia; Mytilida; Mytilidae. The record is from RNAcentral.